GGAAAGGUAGCUCAGUGGUAGAGUGCUUGCCUUGCAUGCAUGAGGCCUAGGUUCGAUUCCUUAGCACCA
This 69-nucleotide transfer RNA is filed under the name Dipodomys ordii (Ord's kangaroo rat). It matches the Rfam family "tRNA". From Rfam's summary of the family: Transfer RNA (tRNA) molecules are approximately 80 nucleotides in length. Their secondary structure includes four short double-helical elements and three loops (D, anti-codon, and T loops). Lineage: Eukaryota; Metazoa; Chordata; Mammalia; Rodentia; Heteromyidae. The record is from Rfam by way of RNAcentral.